UUUCUCUCUCUUUCCCCAGGGAUCACCACCUCUGAGUUUGUCCACCCAAGAAAAAUCUUCAUCUGGAAAGCACUUUUGAAGCUUGGACAAAAUGUUGUACUAAGCUUUCACAUAUAUAUAUCCACCAGACGCUCAUCGGUGGUGGCCAGCUCUUCCCCAGGGUCACCGUGUUAUGGGUAGACUAGAGCUCGCCUUUUUGAUAAGCUAAUUUCUCUUUUAGCUCUCACAAUUCGCCCUUUAGGUCUUAGAUCUUUUGAUUAGAGGUAGACAUCGAGUUAGCAAGUAGAUCGAUCUUCAUCUCUUGCAUCUCGAUAAAACCCUGUAAAGCCCUGUUCCUCUCCUUCAGAAUUUGGGAGCAGGCCAGUUGCUCCAUUUGAAGAGACAUUGACUAAAGGGUGAGGUCUUCAUCAUCAUCUUGAUCCAAGCAAGCUUUUUCUUUCGGGAGAAUGUACUUUUUACUGAAUCAGCCAGCAAGUUUGAAAUUCUUAAUAACUAACUAGCCGGCUAGCAUUUAUUUGAUGGUUUGAGGAGCCGGUGGUGGCAAAGGAGGAACAAACUCAAUCUCCCUGGGGUCUUAAGCAUCAGCUAGCAUCCUUCGCUUUUCUGGAGUCUGUGACGUCCAAGGAGAGGUGACUCUCACCCGCUUUAUUGCCGUAGGAGUAGACUGCUCAACAGCAGGAGCUCUUUUCGACUUCUUCUUCCUCUGGAAUAACUCUUCAACAUUUUUUGCUUGCCUAACCAUGUCUGCAUAAGCAAAAGAAUCUUAGUAAGUAUUAAAAAUCAAAGUUAUAAGUUAAAAGCUUUUACCGGG
RNAcentral lists this unclassified non-coding RNA (811 nucleotides) under Hevea brasiliensis (rubber tree). The record is from RNAcentral. Lineage: Eukaryota; Viridiplantae; Streptophyta; Magnoliopsida; Malpighiales; Euphorbiaceae.